RNAcentral lists this long non-coding RNA (1545 nucleotides) under Helianthus annuus (common sunflower). Its description in RNAcentral is "hypothetical non coding rna". The record is from RNAcentral. Lineage: Eukaryota; Viridiplantae; Streptophyta; Magnoliopsida; Asterales; Asteraceae.
UUUAGGUGUGAGGGUGUGCGUAGAACAUCAGGAGAAACACAAAGGGAGCCAAAACCCUUGUUCAUCAAGAAUCACUAAAUUGGUGAUGAAUUUAUGAUCCAAUCUUAUGCAUGAAUGAAGAUCUCAACCUUACAAACAUGUGGAUCAUGUCAAGGUGGGUGGAAGCGUGGAAGGCUAACGGGAAGGAUGCGAGGAAGCAAGUACGAAACGGGCGCUUAAGGUAAGUUAUUUCCGGAAUCACUUCUUAUUUUAUAAAUGAAGUUUGGUAUGUUGUAUAUAGGGAACCAUGUAAGAAGUUACGGGUAAGGGUAAGUACCAAGGUAAGUUCAUAUGAACUUUGUCUAUUCUUAAUGUAAAUUAAGAUGAUAGUUUCAUCACGUUAAUGGAAUGUUCAUGAUGUUAAUGGAAUGUUCAUCAUGUUACUGAAAUGUUCAUCAUGUUACUGAAAUGUUCAUCAUGUUACGGGAAUGUUCUUCAUGUUACGGAAAUGUUCAUCAUGUUAUUGAAAUGUUCAUCAUGUUAUUGAAAUGUUCAUCAUGUUACUGAAAUGUUCAUCAUGUUACAGAAAUGUUCAUCAUGUUACUGAAAUGUUCAUCAUGUUACUGAAAUGUUUAUCAUGUUAAUGGAAUGUUCAUCAUGUUAAUAGAAUAUUCAUCAUAUUAAUGAAAUGUUCAUCAUGUUAAUGGAAUGUUCAUCAUGUUAAUCGAAUGUUCAUCAUGUUAAUGAAAUGUUCAUCAUAUUAAUGGAAUGUUCAUCACGUUAAUGGAAUGUUCAUCAUGUUAAUGGAACGCUCAUCAUGUUAAUGGAAUGUUCAUCAUGUUUGUUGGAAGUUAGUUGGUUAUGUUUAUUUGUAACUACAUCGAUUUUUAUUGAUAUGUUUGUAGGUAAGGCUCAACUUUAGAUGCUUGCGACGUUCAAAGUUUGAUAUCUGAAUACGAAUAAGUGAAUGUGACUUGUAUGCAUGUAUAUAGAUAUGGAACUGUAGCGUGUGUAAGUAGUGUGAACUUGUAUGUACGCACAUAUGAAUGGGAUACGUAUGAAUGUACUUAGAUAUAUGAAUGUGUAUAUGCGUGUUGUAAUCUAAUGAUUGUAGAUCAUUGGUAUACGUAUAUGUGAAGAUGUGGGCUUUCAACAUGUUUGAGAUUACGUAUUCCUAACCAUGUUACUAUUGAGAAUGAAAUGAAGUGUAGGUAUGGGAACGCCGGACUCUCGAGGAAUUGAUGUCGGACUCGAGUAAAUAAAAUUGAGAGGAUGGUUCAAUGGAAUAUCUUACAUAAUUAGAAUGCGAUAUAGCCUUUUAAGUAUAUGUUUUAAAUUAUAUAUGAUGUCACCAUGUACUAACGUGUUGGUUAUAUAUGGUGACCGCAGGUUAGUCAGAUAUUCAUGAUGGACAAGUGAACGAGGGUCGAGUUGAAGAUCAUGGAUUGUACGGGAAAGCGGUCACGUUGUUUGUAACUAUUUGUUAAGUUACAUUAAAUAAAUGAUCAAUGAUGUAUUUAUGUUAAAAGGGUUGACCUAAACGGUAUUCAAGUGUGUUAGAGCAGU